AGCAGCCGCGGUAAUUCCAGCUCCAAUAGCGUAUAUUAAAGUUGUUGCAGUUAAAAAGCUCGUAGUUGAAUUUCGGAAUCAAUGGAUCGGUCAUGCCACUCGGUGUGUACUGGUUUGAUUGGUUCUCACCUUCUAAGGAACCGUGAUGUCAUUAAUUUGGUGUCGCGGGGAAUUAGGACUGUUACCUUGAAAAGAUUAGAGUGUUUAAAGCAAGCUCACGCUUGAAUACAUUAGCAUGGAAUAAUGAAAUAGGACAUUGUAUUCUAUUUUGUUGGUUUCUAGGAUCGAUGUAAUGAUUAAUAGGGAUAGUUGGGGGCAUUAGUAUUCAAUUGUCAGAGGUGAAAUUCUUGGAUUUAUUGAAGACUAACUACUGCGAAAGCAUUUGCCAAGGAUGUUUUCAUUAAUCAAGAACGAAAGUUAGGGGAUCGAAGACGAUCAGAUACCGUCGUAGUCUUAACCAUAAAC
This 465-nucleotide ribosomal RNA is filed under the name uncultured Glomus. RNAcentral's name for it is "SSU rRNA". It matches the Rfam family "Eukaryotic small subunit ribosomal RNA", at positions 569 to 1037 of the family's 1831-position model. The record is from RNAcentral. Lineage: Eukaryota; Fungi; Glomeromycota; Glomeromycetes; Glomerales; Glomeraceae.